AUUGAACGCUGGCGGCAGGCCUAACACAUGCAAGUCGAGCGGAUGAAGGGAGCUUGCUCCUGGAUUCAGCGGCGGACGGGUGAGUAAUGCCUAGGAAUCUGCCUGGUAGUGGGGGAUAACGUCCGGAAACGGGCGCUAAUACCGCAUACGUCCUGAGGGAGAAAGUGGGGGAUCUUCGGACCUCACGCUAUCAGAUGAGCCUAGGGCGGAUUAGCUAGUUGGUGGGGUAAAGGCCUACCAAGGCGACGGUCCGUAACUGGUCUGAGAGGAUGAUCAGUCACACUGGAACUGAGACACGGUCCCGACUCCUACGGGAGGCAGCAGUGGGGAAUAUUGGACAAUGGGCGAAAGCCUGAUCCAGCCAUGCCGCGUGUGUGAAGAAGGUCUUCGGAUUGUAAAGCACUUUAAGUUGGGAGGAGGGGCAGUAAGUUAAUACCUUGCUGUUUUGACGUUACCAACAGAAUAAGCACCGGCUAACUUCGUG
RNAcentral lists this ribosomal RNA (484 nucleotides) under uncultured bacterium. Its description in RNAcentral is "partial 16S ribosomal RNA". It matches the Rfam family "Bacterial small subunit ribosomal RNA", at positions 30 to 507 of the family's 1533-position model. The record is from RNAcentral.